RNAcentral lists this long non-coding RNA (1002 nucleotides) under Macaca fascicularis (crab-eating macaque). Its description in RNAcentral is "lncRNA (ENSMFAG00000053040.1)". The record is from RNAcentral. Lineage: Eukaryota; Metazoa; Chordata; Mammalia; Primates; Cercopithecidae.
CUUGGUUAUUCUCAGUCUUGAUUUUCAUAACAUCAGUUCAUCAAUUUAUUCCAAAAGCUUGCUAGGGUCUUGUCUUUGGGUGCAUUUGAUGUGACUUCUGCUUUGCUCUUGCUUGAAUCUCUUCUGUUUUUUCCCUCUGCCCUCUUAGGACCUGCCUCCUCCAGUGCUCCUGGAACUGCUCCAACUGUGCCUGGGACUUCAGCACUGAGUGUUGCUGUCUUAGGGGGUUCCACUGCCACCAUGGCUGGAGUGGCCACCACGUCCCCUGGGCUCACAUCCUCGCCAGUUAAGGCACUCUUCUCGGCAUUACAGUAAAAGGUCUGAAACCCCAGAAGGACUCUGUCUCAGACUGGGCCAUUGUGUUGAUCACUCUCACUUUGGUGGCAGCAAUUGUCAACCUAAUGUAUGGUAUCAAGAAGAGGAACGCUGAGUGCCUGGGUUGCCAAGAGGAAGCAGCAGUUCACAGGAAGAGCUGGACUGAGCAGCAGGUUCUCGGGCCCCUUGAUUGACCCGUCAUACCCUUCCCUCAUCUCACAGGCCUGCCAGUUCCGGAGGGAGUGGCUGUGGCUCCGUGUGACUGUGGCUCUCUGUGGGGUGUGACUGUGGCUCCAUGACCCCUUACAGCUGCCACCAUGAGGUGGAGGCCACCAGUCAGCACUACUCUGUCAAAUGAAAGGUGGGGCAGGGGCAGCUGAGCGCCUACCCUUUGGCCUUCCUUCUUCGUCUCCCAAAUAGUCUCAUUCCCAGACUCCCCUAUCCCAUUCACCCUAGCCGGAACCUUUUUCUGCAGGUAGAUUCCUGGGGUCACUGGCCCCCAGGUCUCUUCUACCCACAGCGUAAGGAGUCGUCCACUGUCAGUCACGAGAUUCUGCUCUCUGCUCUGCCGCCAACCAUGCAGACUGCGGGAAGGUGCCCAGCUUCUCCAAGGACAGUUUUCUCAUCGGUGGAAGGAAGGACCAGGGCUAAGUGGCCUGCAGGCACCUUCCAGCCCUCAAGGAGCCC